AUUGAACGCUGGCGGCAGGCCUAACACAUGCAAGUCGAGCGGAUGAAGGGAGCUUGCUCCUGGAUUCAGCGGCGGACGGGUGAGUAAUGCCUAGGAAUCUGCCUGGUAGUGGGGGAUAACGUCCGGAAACGGGCGCUAAUACCGCAUACGUCCUGAGGGAGAAAGUGGGGGAUCUUCGGACCUCACGCUAUCAGAUGAGCCUAGGUCGGAUUAGCUAGUUGGUGGGGUAAAGGCCUACCAAGGCGACGAUCCGUAACUGGUCUGAGAGGAUGAUCAGUCACACUGGAACUGAGACACGGUCCAAACCCCUAGGGGAGGCCGGAGUGGGGAAUUUUGGACAAUGGGCGAAAGCCUGAUCCAGCCAUGCCGGGUGGGUGAAGAAGGUCUUCGGUUUGUAAAGCACUUUAAGUUGGGAGGAAGGGCAGUAAGUUAAUCCCUUGCUUUUUUGACGUUACCAACAGAAAAAGCCCCGGCUAACUUCGU
Molecule: ribosomal RNA, 483 nt
Filed under: uncultured bacterium
Lineage: Bacteria
Description: partial 16S ribosomal RNA
Rfam family: Bacterial small subunit ribosomal RNA
Source: RNAcentral